RNAcentral lists this transfer RNA (71 nucleotides) under Camelus bactrianus (Bactrian camel). It matches the Rfam family "tRNA". From Rfam's summary of the family: Transfer RNA (tRNA) molecules are approximately 80 nucleotides in length. RNAcentral also lists the same sequence under 2 other names. The record is from Rfam by way of RNAcentral. Lineage: Eukaryota; Metazoa; Chordata; Mammalia; Artiodactyla; Camelidae.
GAGGGUAUAGCUCAGUGGUAGAGCGUGUGCUUAGCAUACACGGGUCCUGGGUUCAAUCCCCAGUACCUCCA